RNAcentral lists this long non-coding RNA (902 nucleotides) under Triticum aestivum (bread wheat). RNAcentral describes it as "long non-coding RNA (TAES_LNC011097)". Lineage: Eukaryota; Viridiplantae; Streptophyta; Magnoliopsida; Poales; Poaceae. The record is from RNAcentral.
UAAAUCAAGGAUGAAAAGAAGACAACUGAUGUGCAAGGACGUGCAGGUACUACAACAUAUUGCAUACAAUAAGCUUUUUGUUUUUGUCUCGGAAAUACACAUACAUCAUUUGAGUGUCCACUAGAGCGCCAAAUUUUUGCCUGGACUUAUAGCAUCACUAGAUAAGGUUUCGUGUCUUCUAUAUAAAACUAAAUCCACAUACUGCAGUUUUAAAAUUGAAAAUAUAAAAAUCACAUGAUGUUAUCUGAUGCCCACAUACAUUCCUUAGGAAUUAGCAUAGAUCAAUAUGUAUACAAAACUAAAGAUCACAUGGCAUAUACAAAACUUCACCAUACUGCAGUUCUUUUUGUCUGAAGCUGUACAUUUUGGUUCUACUUCAUCAGAUAACAUACAACCACAAUUAUUUUUUAAAUUAUUUUCAAACUAUGAAAUGUGCAAAAUUGUUGGGGUGCACCCAUGCAUUUUCUCAUAUCUACACGUGAGUAACACAUCACAUGUUUGCAGUCACAUUCAGUUUGAACGUAUGAGAAUUUGACCUAAAGCCUCAGGAUACCUAUGAAAAUUUUCUCGAUAUUGGUUAUAUUUCUUAUGAAUCCACUUUGGCGUAAAACAUUUGAAAAAUGUCUAUGUCUUAACUAGGUGUUAGUAUGAAAUGAUAUUUGCACUUUUGUCAGAUAUUGAGUGAGCAUAGUUUCAUUAUUCGCUUAUCAUUAAGAUCGUGUGGAAUAUUUUCAGGUACUCAGCCACCUAGUGCGCAUGGAUGUGAUGACUUCGUAGUCUUAUGUAGCAUUUGGCCGUUUGUAGUAUUUCGGACUAGCCAACUUGUAAUCAUGAAUCUUAUGUGCGUUCUGGACCAUUUGGUGCUUCAAGUGUUCUGGAGUAGAAAUCUUGUGGUCAUGGAU